This 253-nucleotide ribosomal RNA is filed under the name uncultured bacterium. Its description in RNAcentral is "partial 16S ribosomal RNA". It matches the Rfam family "Bacterial small subunit ribosomal RNA", at positions 524 to 776 of the family's 1533-position model. The record is from RNAcentral.
UACGGAGGGGGCUAGCGUUGUUCGGAAUUAUUGGGCGUAAAGCGCACGUAGGCGGCUUUGUAAGUUAGAGGUGAAAGCCCGGGGCUCAACUCCGGAAUUGCCUUUAAGACUGCAUCGCUAGAAUUGUGGAGAGGUAAGUGGAAUUCCGAGUGUAGAGGUGAAAUUCGUAGAUAUUCGGAAGAACACCAGUGGCGAAGGCGACUUACUGGACACAUAUUGACGCUGAGGUGCGAAAGCGUGGGGAGCAAACAGG